GACGAACGCUGGCGGCGUGCUUAACACAUGCAAGUCGAGCGGUAAGGCCCUUUCGGGGUACGACGAGCGGCGAACGGGUGAGUAACACGUGGGUGACCUGCCUCUAGCUCUGGGAUAAGCCUGGGAAGCUGGGUCUAAUACCGGAUAUGACCUCGCGGUGCAUGUUGCGGGGUGGAAAGCCUUGUGCGGCUAGGGAUGGGCCCGCGGCCUAUCAGCUUGUUGGUGGGGUGAUGGCCACCAAGGCGACGACGGGUAGCCGGCCUGAGAGGGCGACCGGCCACACUGGGACUGAGACACGGCCCAGACUCCUACGGGAGGCAGCAGUGGGGAAUCUUGCGCAAUGGGCGAAAGCCUGACGCAGCGACGCCGCGUGAGGGAUGACGGCC
RNAcentral lists this ribosomal RNA (386 nucleotides) under uncultured bacterium. Its description in RNAcentral is "bacterial SSU rRNA". It matches the Rfam family "Bacterial small subunit ribosomal RNA", at positions 28 to 416 of the family's 1533-position model. The record is from RNAcentral.